This 482-nucleotide ribosomal RNA is filed under the name uncultured bacterium. RNAcentral's name for it is "partial 16S ribosomal RNA". It matches the Rfam family "Bacterial small subunit ribosomal RNA", at positions 30 to 507 of the family's 1533-position model. The record is from RNAcentral.
AUUGAACGCUGGCGGCAUGCUUUACACAUGCAAGUCGAACGGUAACAGGCCGCAAGGUGCUGACGAGUGGCGAACGGGUGAGUAAUGCAUCGGAACGUGCCCAGUCGUGGGGGAUAACUACUCGAAAGAGUAGCUAAUACCGCAUACGAUCUAUGGAUGAAAGCGGGGGACCGUAAGGCCUCGCGCGAUUGGACCGGCCGAUGUCAGAUUAGGUAGUUGGUGGGGUAAAGGCUCACCAAGCCAACGAUCUGUAGCUGGUCUGAGAGGACGACCAGCCACACUGGGACUGAGACACGGCCCAGACUCCUACGGGAGGCAGCAGUGGGGAAUUUUGGACAAUGGGCGCAAGCCUGAUCCAGCAAUGCCGCGUGCAGGAAGAAGGCCUUCGGGUUGUAAACUGCUUUUGUACGGAACGAAACGGCUCUGGUUAAUACCCGGGGCUAAUGACGGUACCGUAAGAAUAAGCACCGGCUAACUACGUG